UGCCUUCCAAAAUGACAAAGAAUAACGAGGAUAAGUCCUCCAAAAAUAGAAAAAUCCUAUGAUUCCUCGGUAAUUAUUUCAGCUACCAAAAGCUUAUCUUUUGGGUUUGUCGAAGAGAGAGGGAGAGAGAGAGUGGGGAUGAGGAUAAUAUACUCUGCCACAUGCUUUUUUUUUUAGUCUGUGGAUUAUACCUUUCUUUUGGUUUCAAAAACCCGAAUUCAGAUUUCUAUUUUUCCUUUAAGUUCAUCUUCGUAUGAAAUCCUAUUAGAAGGAUAAAUGUUGUUGUGUUUUUGUGGAUGCUACAUAUUUAAGUGUGUUUGUUCGGGAAAAUUAGACUAAUUUUGUUUUCAUUACAUUAUGUAUUGUCUGUACAUGAGCUAAGGAUUCCCAGUAAUCUUUCUUGUUCGGUAUUAUCAAGAAGGUAGGGAUGAAGUUACACUCAUUAUUCUUUCAGAAAUAGGAUUAGGGAUGAGAUAACGCGUCAUAAUCGCUUAUCUCCGUCCUUAAAUACCCAUUGUCAAGAAUUAACUGAUUAAGUGGUUUCCAUAUUUAAUUGUUGCUCUAAAGAUUUUUACUCGAACAUUUGUUGCUUGUUACUCUUUGAAGUUUAGUUUACUCACAUAAUCGAUUUGGAGACAGUAUUCCUAGACUCCCUCUUGCGUCACUUUGGAGUAGUCUUCGUCUGUUGGGUGACGUCUGUACAGGGAUUUCAUGUAUACUCAUGUGAAUAGAAAGACGUUCUUGCCUCACAGGCCCUCUUCCCAGUUUUCAUUUUCUUCCCUUUAAUAUUUAUUUAACAGGACCAUGAAAUCACUGUGAGUUCAAAUUCAAUAGAGCCUUUAAGCCUUUUUUCUUGUGGAAGAAGGCCAUGGGUAUAUGUUUCGUUAUAUUGUGAUAGAACCUAGUCUACACUUAUCUAAAAAUUCUUGAUUUUGAUUAUUUUCUUUGAGGAGUACAGGAUUGGAUUGUUUCUCGUACUAUCUGUAUGUAGUGUUUUCCUUCUCUAUUUGAUCCUAUCCCAUGUUAAAUGCCUUUGUUUGAAAUCUGGGAUAAUUAGUCUUUCGCAGGCUGGGAGUGUUAAAAUUUGAUUUGAUAUAGUAAGAAUCAUCACCACAUGUUGGAACCAUGCUUUUGGUAUAAAAUCUCCCUUAAGAACUUGUGCAGGGAAUUCUUUAUCCUUCUGUGACCUUUUGUUUAUUGUAUUCACUGUUUUGUCCAUGAAUAUAUCUUCACCUCUUAACUAGAUUAUCUAGGUAUGUUCAAACCAUGCGCAAUAUAACUUAUUGAAUUAAGCGAGAAGUUAUUUUCAUUCUAGUUGCCUCAUUCUGUUCGGAUUGUUAUAUGAACCCGUCUAGGAUUUGCAUCGUAUCGAUUGACUCUCAUUCUUAUCAUGUGCAUAAGUGUGUGCAUCAUUAUCAUUCAAAACUUAAUCCUUAAUGUUUCUUUAUUUUGAGGUAUGUUAUGUCUCGAAUGGGCAUUAAUUUAUUCAUCUUUUCUUUGCAUGAACUCUCUUCGGAGUCCAAUUGGACUCUUUUCCUUUGUAUUGCACAACACACCAGUGAGGCCCACCCUUUAGGAGAAUUUGGAUAUCAACCUCAUAGAAUAUGGAUACAAGGAGUCAAAAGGAGAAGAAGGGGUUAAAGUCCCACAUUUGAAGCGGCUACGAGACCCGAAAGUCGCGUUUGUUAUUUACCUAUUGUCGUCUUUAUUUAUGAAUUCAUUUCUUAUUUAUUUGGGCCUCGAAGCCAAUGUUGUAUUUAAUACAGGUGGAGCAAGACUCGAGCCAAAGGCUCGAAAAAUAGUUUAGGACAGGUGAAAUGGUAGUUAAAAUUCCUACUAAGUUGCCUAAAUCUAUUUUACACAAGUCUUUUUUUUGAAAAAAAAUCAAAUCACUAUUUCAACAAAUUAAUCUUUUCGAAGUUAUUCAAAAGAUGAUUUUCAAACAGUCCGGAUAACCGCAAGUUAGCGGACGUUUUAGGUGCCUAACACCUUCCUAAAAUGUUAAUAGGAACCACUUAUCCAGAAUCUCUUAACUUAAACGAUUUUUGUAUUUUAGAUCGUUUAAAGUGUUUUAUAAAUGUUUCUUAAUUCCUUUUCAAAAUUAAGUGGUGACUCUCUUUCAAAAGUCAAAAUUUCUCCGCAAAACAGAAAUGGCGACUCUGCUGGGGAUUUUGAACUAGGUUCUAAUCAAAUGUUUGAUUUCGUCUUUUGAUUAACUGUUUAUGUGUUUCGAUUCUGUAGAAUUUAAAUAUCGCAUCUCUUGGCAUAUUCCUACAUUAUUUAAAUUAUUUUGGGGUUUCGUGGGUAUCCCGGCCCCUAUUGAUCAAUUCCAAAAAUGUGUUGGAAAUACAAAUAAUUUAUUAGCACGUGAGUCAUCUGAUGGUUGUUUCUAUUUUCAAACUCAAGUUGUCCGCUUGAGAACUAGUGUUCAAACCCACUCUAGAUACCUAGGAUAGAGUGAAACCAAAACCCUAUUUCAGGCAUGAGCCAAGGAUGACCCAGUACCCGAGCGGGGUAUUGGGCCCAUUAGAAAACCUGCCCUGCGUCUAUUGAACCCGAUUCAAUUAUAGACGAACCAUAUUUAUGUGUUGAAGAAAAUGUAUGCGUGUCUAAUUCAAUCCAUUAUCCUUUAGGGGUAGGGAAAAAGCUUGAUUUGCUUACUUUUAUAAGAAGAAUUGAAGCAAGAUAAGCAAGAAAUUGAUCGAUUUGGGAUGUUGCAUCUAAGGCACAGUUUGAACGUCAACGGAUGUCACCAAUAAAAGAAGUGGACAAAGCUAAGAAGGCGAAGGUUUAUAGAAGAAGCACUCAAGAAUUAGUAUUUCCUAUCCCCUGUGUGGGAACGUGUCUUCUUUCAUGUUAUUUCCCUUUCCCUAAAGAUUGUAUCCCUAUUUUGUUAUCGUUUGUAAGCAUUUAUACCCUUUUUCUGUCUAUAUAAGUUGGAGGUUAAUGGAUUGACUUUGAGGAAUCAUAUAUUUUCUUCAAAAAUCGUUAGGCCUGAACCCUUGGCUCAAAAGGGUCACCCCAGCUAGGAUACAUGUUAUUAUAACGUUUUUGUGUGUUAUAACUGUCUCAUGUGCUUAUGUGCGUAUAUUUGAAUCAAAGAAAAGUUUAUCCACUAUGUCCUAUGGAUGAACUUGGCUAUGACUCAAACAACUCUAUGUGGUUAUUUCAUAUCAAAUAUUUUCCAUUAUUUAUCAUAUACGGAAACUAACAUAUCUGCCUUUGAGUUAUUUUACUUUAUAGAUAAUAGAAAUUACUCUAUGUUGAUAUAAGUUGGCAGAACAUCCCUACUUCACCCAAUCGAAAGUGCACAAAAUCCCAUCCUCUGACCAUCAUCCAGAAAUGACAGGAAAUGACGAAGAAAAUGCACUGACUAUCCGGGAUAAUGUGAUAGCGGAAUAGAAUGAGAUGAUUGCGGAACUUACAAGAAAGUUAGAAAUGCUUCAGGAGGAAAUAAAUCUCACUCGGGAUUUGGCUAACUUGUCCAUCACCAUCAAUUCUCCCGCUCUGGGAGAACACAGGACUCCACUUCAAACUUCUCCCGUCAGCACCCCUAUUCUCGGGGAUCAGCCAAAUAAUGUAUCGUCCGUCUCUGCUCCUCCAUUCAUCCAAAAUACCAAUCAUGAAAAUAACCCAGAUGCCUACCAUCCGUAAAAUCCAUCUCUAACCCCACAAAAUCCGUCUCUGAAUACAUUCCCAAAUCCUCAAAACACAUUUUCAAAUCAGCAAAAUGCAUUCCUAAAUCCACAAGAUUCACUCCCAAACCUACAAAAUAUAUCAAAUCUACCUUUGAAUCCACCAAGUUCAUUUUCAAAUCCUCAAAAUCUUUCUCAUAUUCCGCCAAACUACUCGCAAGGUCCACGAAACCUUCCCAAUUUCCAAAAUGUCGUCCCCACUUACCAACCAAAUUCCCCUCAUCUGUAAAAUCAAGCCUCCCUUCCAAAUCCUCCUCACGCCAUCAUAUUCCCUUAUAUCUACAAUUCCUUUCCUUAUAUCGAGAUAGACCAUUACGAGGAUAAGGAUAAAGAGUGGAGGACCAAGCAUGAACUGAAGUUGCUAGCUAUGAAUGAAGAGAUCAUGAGGAUCAAAGUAUCUCAUGGAGUGAGGGACCACGACGAUUUAGGGUAUGAUGAUUUAUGUGUUCACCCACGAGUAGACCUACCAGAUGGGUAUAAAUUCCCUAAGUUUAAGAUGUUUGACGGUACCAAAAAUCCAAUGGCCCAUCUGAGAAGGUACUGUGAGCAACUGGUAGGGAUAGGGAAAAUGAGGCGUUAUUGAUGCGCCUAUUCAGUCGGAGUUUAAGUGGCGAAGCCUUGGAGUGGUUCAUGUCUCAGGAGCCAAAAAAGUGGACUGGUUGGAAAGUAUUGGCCAAGGGUUUCCUUAAUCGGUUCGCAUUCUAUAUUGAAAUAGUCUCUGAACGAUAUUCACUAGAUUGGAUCAAACAAAAGAAUGAUGAGAGUUUUCGAGACUAUGCUUUUCAUUGGAGAAAAGAGGCUGCUAAAGUACAACCUCCCAUAUCUGAGGAAGAAAUGGUAUCAGUUUUCUCUCAUGCACAGGAAGAAGAAUUUUAUACCAGGAUGGUAUCCGCGGUCCGAGCAACUUUCACAGAUUUAGUAAAGAUUGGGGAAUCAUUAGAGGAAGGCAUCUGAACAGGAAAAAUUGCCAAAAUCCCAACAUCAUCUGAAUCUUCUACAUUUUCAAAGAAGAAAAUUCAAGCCUAUAAAUAUUCUUUCCUCAUCAUCAUCACCAAGUUUUCAGCCUAUAUUCUGCGCUCAACCCCAAUGUCAAGCUCCAAAUCCAAAUAUUUUACCCCAGUACCAAGUUCCACAACUAAAUUAUCAGCCUCAUACUCAAGCUACUUUUCCAAAUAACCAAAUAAACGUCCAAACAUCUCCAAAUUAUCAUUAAGUACCUCCCUCCAUAAAUAAGAAUCAUUAUAACCCUCCAUAAAUAAGAAUCAUUAAGUACCUCCAUUGUCAAGCUCUUGUACCAGUCAUUUCCCAUACAUGAGAUGUCAAAUGAUGAUGGUCUUGGGGAUAGGAUAGGAGACCUAUUUGAAGGAUGCAAUGCUCUACCAGAUGAUUUCCCAAUGUCUGAUCAAAUGAAGAAGGUCGCACAUGGAGAAACUUUACAAAAUUGGACUUCCACUUCGCUCCUAAUUCAUCGCCCGUCGCGGUAGAUGAAAGGACAAUUACUAAUAAUUUUUAAAAUCGAUGAUGAUCCGAAGGAGGCCCUGUGAUCCACCCUUUUAUGUCUGAAAUUUUUGUUUUGUGUUUUACAACUUUCAAAAAGGCAUGGGCCCACAUUUGUGUGGGUCAUAAGCCAUAGUUUUUAUUUAUUUUUCCAAAAGGUAUCCCUUUAUUUAAGAAGUUAUUUUUUAAAUAUGAUUAUCUAGUAUGGUUUAUUUUGGUAGCAAUAAUUUAAAAAUCUUCCAAUGUCAUGUCAUGUCAAGGGUUAGACAAACAAGGCGAAGGAAAUAAUGAUGAACAGAAAGUUAUAGUUUUUAUUUCUGGGCUUAUUUGUAAUGGCCUUUAUAAUAGUAUCAAUUUUAUGAUGUGUAAUCGCCUAGAACCCUUUCCCUCUAUUUACGAACUACGUUUGACCAGAAUUCCCAAGAAAGGGAUACGUAGGUGGCCUAUGUCGGCUUCGGUCAACCCCUUAGAGAAAUUUAUCCUUUCUUUUUAUGUAUGAACUACGUGAUGACCUGAAUUCCCGAGAAAGGGAUAUGUAGGCGGCCUAUGUCGGCUUCGGUCAACCCAUUAGAUUUUCUAUAUAUAUCCUUAGCGUAGGCCUGAACUAUGUUUGACCUGAUUACUGCUUUAACGGCAUACGUAGGCACCCCAACGGCUCAGUCAUAUAAGCCCAGGAAAGGAAAACUGGGGCAGAAUUUUUGAGAAGAAAUAUCGAAAAUUCACAAGAGAAGAUCGACAUCCAACAAAAAGAAUGAAGAUCAGCAAAGACUUCAGAUCCACUUGGAUUGGUAUCAUCUCAAACAACUUUAAACUGGGGCAGAAAUUUUGAGGAAGACCUUAAAAUUUCCACCAAAUUCCUGAACAUACUCCAAAUUACCCAGCACUAGAGGUUAAGGCUUUGGAAGCCACCAACUAUAACAAAGUCUAGGUAGACUCAAUUUUUGGCUAUGAUAGAACUACUUGAAGAAACCCUCCAACAAUGAUCAUGAGUUUUGGAAACCAUCCGUCAAAUAUAGUCAAAACCACGAGGAAGACAUUCAUUGAGCUAGUACAUGACAUGACUAGCAGAGAUUUUCUAAAGUUUUACAGAAGUUUUCAAAAUUAUUUUCUAAAAUUUAAGACUAUUUUCCAAAAAUCUUACGACUCACUUAUUUAGUAUUUUUCUUGACAUCAUUUGGGAUGGAGUGUCAGGGUGGAAGUCCCGAUAUGGUGGAAUACCCAAGGGAUGGAAAAGAGAAAAUCAAGGAUCGAAGGAGGUCAACACGGAGUAAUUUCAUUCAAACUAAUCAUUUUUUUGUGGAUGCAGGGUUCAAUAUAAAAAAUGAGGGUUUCUUUCAAAAAUCCCCGAGCAGAAUAGGAGCCACAAUAGAGCAUUAAUACCCAAGAACGGUAUUUUAGGGUAGCCCUAAAAAUAGGUUUAACGCCCAUUUAUUGAGGACCUUUUGAUUUGUCCAUCUUAUUUCUCGAGAUCGUAGGCGACAAACAAAAACUCUUUGUAUUCUUUACACAUAUCGUAUUUAAAAAUUUUCCUAAAAAUAGUCGCUAGUAAAAGUGACUUUGUGUCUACUAAUCGUCUACCUUGAGUACAUGUACAUGUAGAAAGCAGGACGCUGACAAAUGAAAUCAGGUAAAAUUAACAUCAUAGCCGUAAGGCAUUGCCUCAAGGGCUAUUGCAUAUCAUCGCUACAAUGGCUAUUGCAUAUCAUCGCCAUAAUGGCUAUUGUAUAUCAUCACCACAAUGGCUAUUGCAUAUCAUUGCCACAAUGGCUAUUGCAUAUCAUUGCUACAAUGGCUAUGGCUAUUGCAUAUCAUAGCCACAAUGGCUAUUGCUUAUCAUCGCCACAAUGGCUAUUGAAUAUCAUCGCCACAAUGGCUAUUGCAUAUCAUCGCCACAAGGGCUACUGCAAUCAUCGCCAUAAUAGCUAUUGCAUAUCAUCGCCACAAUGGCUAUUGCAUAUCAUCUCCACAAUGGCUAUUGUAUAUCAUCACCACAAUGGCUAUUGCAUAUGAUCGCCACAAUGGCUAUUGCAUAUCAUCGCCACAAGGGCUAUUGCAUAUCAUCGCCCCAAGGGCCAUUACAUAUCAUUACCGCAAAGGCCAUCUCAUACCAUCGCCCUAGAAGGCAUUCAAUAUUUGUUAACAUGCUAGACAAAAACACUAUCAUUGAGGAUAUCUCAUCAUUUCAUAAAUCAGCAUAUGAAUGCAUCAAGGGUACACGAUUUGAAGGGACGCCUUUAAGUCGCUAUCUAAGGAUGAAUGAUAUAUAAGGUUUCCUGGAAAUUGACAAUUUAAGAGAUUAUCUAUAAGUCAUAUUAUUUGAAAUAGGAUAGUGUGCAAGAUCACCUAUGAGUUGAUAGCCUGUAGGCCAUCUGUAAGCCACAACAACAUACUAACCAGAUAGUGUGCAAGAUCGCCCAAAAAUCGAUAGUUCAAAGGUUAUCCAUAAGUCACAACUAAAUCCUUACCAAAAAAUAUGCAAUAUUAUCAAAUUGAUACGUCCAAGGGUUCUCUAUAAGCCGCGUCAUAUCCAAGAUCGAUUAUGUACAGGAUUACCCAAAUACUAACAAUUUUUGAGAGAUUAUCUGUAAGUCAUAUUGUAUCCAAGGUUGGAUGAUGUGCGGGAAUACCUGAAAGCUAGCGAUUAGAGGGAUAUCUGUAAGCCAUCUCUUAUCUAAAGUCAGAUAAUGUGCAGGAUUACCUAAAAGCUAGAAAUUCAAAGGAUAUCUGUAAGUCGCCUCGUAUCCAAUAUCAAAUAAUACACAAGAUUAUCCAAAGAUUGAUAAUUUAAGGAAAAUUUAUAAAUCGAUCAUCAGUUGUAACCGGAGAGGUUAUCAUUCCACAUACAACAAGUGAUAUAGGUAACCAAAAGGGUUGCCACUCCAACACAAGAUUACACGGUUUUUGAAUUUUACGGAGUAUUGAAUUUUUUAUCAAGGAUUAUUUUGAAAAUAAAUUCAAAUGGUUGAAAAAUCUUGAUUUAAGUAUAAUUUAUUCUUAAAAUUAAUUUAGUUGGAAAAUAUAUGUUUGAUUUUAUCAAAUCAAGAAGCUUGGGAUUAAAUGAGGUAUCAAUUUGUAUCGAGUAUCGAUUUAAUUUUGUCAAUCUAUUAAACUGACUAUAAUUGAAAUAAAAUUGGCUUCAAUUGCAAUGCAAUUGGCCAAUUGACUUCAAUUUGGUUAAAAUUUAAAUGGAUUUGACUAAUUCUUAAUUUGAUUGGGGUUAUCAAUUAAAUAACCCCAAUUUUAGUUUAUUCUUAUUUUUAAAUUACCAGCCCACUCUUCAAAUUAACAAGCCCAAGCCCAAUCUUCUUUUGACUUUGCUAAAUUAGCCCUAAAUUUCCAGCAGCCCAACGCCCCUAGGCCCACACCAACAAACACACUCGGCCUAAACCUUCUCCUCUUCUACAUUCAAUUAACAACAGCUUCACCAUUGACAAUUCUCAACCCAGCAACUCCUCUCAACCCUUUAACCAGACACCAGCCAAAAUCCAACUAAAAUCAAAUCCAACACUAAGCAAACAUCAACGGCGAAAUGGGUUUCAACCUGAUCCCAACUCGAAUCGGCCCUGUUUGAGCCAACCCAACCCUAACCCGAUAAGGUUUUCUCUCAAUGUGUGUGCAUGCCCAGCACGAGAUAAGAACAUCGAAUGUUCUAGAGGGUGCUACAUGUUAGCUUCCAAUUAACUCCUCAAUUGCUAACCGUUCAAAAUUCGAAUCUCUCAACAACUUGGUAUGAUUUUUAGUACAAAUUACAGCUCAACCUUAUCCCAUCCUUCAAAUUUCAAAUUCAUGAUUUCUCCCUUUUUCAAAUUCCUAGGGGAAACCCUAAUUCAUCUCCUAUAAAAAGGGCCUUUGAGGUCACUGUUUGGGUUUUUUUUUUGGCUCAAAGGUUCUUUUGAAGGUUGAUUUUUUUUCCAGAAAAUUGGUUCUUUCGAUUCUCUUGGGGUUCAAAAAUCAGAGUUUCUUUGGGGAGCUACUAUUUUUGGGGAUUUUCUUUGGGGGGUCCUAAAGGGGGUUCGAAAUUAGGGUUGUAGAAAGCUGUGGGUUAAACAUUUUGAAAAAAAAAAAAGAAAGAAAGAUUCUUGAGGAGACUCAGUCUCAAAUAUAAAUUCUAUUCUUAUUUCGGAAGCUCUUCAGCUAAAUUAGAGUGUUGAGUUGAUAGUGAAGAUGACAUUUUCUGGUGGUCCCGCUGAUAGCUCGUUAUCCCGUUUUGCUGCCCCAAAGAAGAUGAACACUCAUUUACCAUUUAUUUCGUUAUUUUACUUUCUCUGCUUCAUCUCAUUUUCUAGUAAAAUCAUAGUUUUGUUUGCUGGGUUAUGUGUUGUAGAAGUCUCAAAGACAAUAGGUAUUGUUUUUGAUGAAAAAUGUUGAAUGAAUUGUUAUGUUAGAAUUAAUCUAUGUUCAGGUUUGUUUUCGGUCGACCUUUUUACUUUGGUGUCAUGAUUUGUCGCCCACUCUUGGUGUUAUUGAGUUAUUUUUAGCCUGUGCUUCACUCAGUGUAUGGAUGGUGAUUGGAAGGGCUGGUUUGUUAGGCAAAGUUUGUGACUUUGAUUGUAUUCCAUAGUUUUAGUCGGCGAUAUUUGGCUUGUAGUUGUUAUCUGAUCGUUUUUGUUCAGGAUCAUUGCUGGAUUAUGGUGUCAUUGUUGAACUAGAAGUGUUGCUAGCAGAGCUACCUCUCAAGUUUCUUUGGCUUCUUAUGUUCCAAAAAGACAAUGAGCAAGGUCCAAAAUAUGCUAGAAAAUCCUAGGAUUCCUCGACGACUAUUUUGUUAGAGUUGGUCGGAGCGAGGAGAAAGAUAGAGACAAUAUUCCGUUUGGCUUGCUUUUGUUGUUUUUCGUUAUUAUAACUGUUGUACUGAUAGUAUCGUUAGUAGGACUUCCUCUUGAGUUCUUCUGUUGUACUGAUAGUAUCGUUAGUAGGACUUCCUCUUCAGUUCUUUGUCUUCCAAAAUGAUAAAGAAUAACGAGGAUAAGUCCUCCAAAAAUAGAAAAAUCCUGUGAUUCCUCGGUAAUUAUUUUGGCUACAAAAAUCUUAUCUUUUGGGUUUGUCGAACAGAGAGAGAGAGUGAGGAUGAGGAUAAUAUACUCUGCCACAUGCUCUUUUUUUAGUCUGUGGAUUAUACCUGUCUUUUGGUUUCAAAAACCCAAAUUCAGAUUUCCAUUUUUCCUUUAAGUUCAUCUUCGAUAUGGAAUCCUAUUAGAAGGAUAAAUGUUGUUGUGUUUUUGUGGAUGCUGCACAUUUAAGUGUGUUUGUUCGGGAAAAUUAAACUAAUUUUGUUGUCAUUACAUUAUGUAUUGUCUGUACAUAAGCUAAGGAUUCCCAGUAAUCUUUCUUGUUCAGUAAUAUCAAGAAGGUAGGGAUGAAGUUAUACUCAUUUUUCUUUCAGAAAUAGGAUUAGGGAUGAGAUAACGUGUCAUAAUCGCUUAUCUCCGUCCUUAAAUACCCACUGUCAAGAAUUAACUGAUUAAGUGGUUUCCAUAUUUAAUUGUUGCUCUAAAGAUUUUUACUCGAACAUUUGUUGCUUGUUACUCUUUGAAGUUUAGUUUGCUCACAUAAUCGAUUUGGAGACAGUAUUCCUAGACUCCCUCUUGCGUCACUUUGGAGUAGUCGUCGUCUGUUGGGUGACUCUGUACAGGGAUUUCAUGUAUACUCAUGUGAAUAGAAAGACGUUCUUGCCUCACAGGCCCUCUUCCCAGUUUUCAUUUUCUUCCCUUUAAUAUUUAUUUAAUAGGACCAUGAAAUCAUUGUGAGUUCAAAUUCGAUAGAGCCUUUAAGCCUUUUUUCUUGUGAAAGAAGGCCAUGGGUAUAUGUUUCGUUAUAUUGUGAUAGAACCUAGUCUACACUUAUCUAAAAAUUCUUGAUUUUGAUUAUUUUCUUUGAGGAGUACAGGAUUGGAUUGUUUCUCGUACUAUCUGUAUGUAGUCUUUUCCUUCUCUAUUUGCUCCUAUCCCAUGUUAAAUGCCUUUGUUUGAAAUCUGGGAUAAUUAGUCUUUCGCGGGCUGGGAGUGUUAAAAUUUGAUUUGAUAUAGUAAGAAUCAUCACCACCUGUUGGAACCAUGCUUUUGGUAUAAAAUCUCCCUUAAGAACUUGUGCAGGGAAUUCUUUAUCCUUCUGUGACCUUUUGUUUAUUGUAUUCACUGUUUUGUCCAUAAAUAUAUCUUCACCUCUUAACUAGAUUAUCUAGGUAUGUUCAAACUAUGCGCAAUAUAACUUAUUGAAUUAAGCGAGAAGUUAUUUUCAUUCUAGUUGCCUCAUUCUGUUCGGAUUGUUAUAUGAACCCGUCUAGGCUUUGCAUCGUAUCAAUUGACUCUCAUUCUUAUCAUGUGCAUAAGUGUGUGCAUCAUUAUCAUUCAAAAC
Molecule: long non-coding RNA, 11546 nt
Filed under: Capsicum annuum
Lineage: Eukaryota; Viridiplantae; Streptophyta; Magnoliopsida; Solanales; Solanaceae
Description: long non-coding RNA (CANN_LNC007270)
Source: RNAcentral